GAUGAACGCUGGCGGCGUGCCUAAUACAUGCAAGUCGAGCGAACAGACGAGGAGCUUGCUCCUCUGACGUUAGCGGCGGACGGGUGAGUAACACGUGGAUAACCUACCUAUAAGACUGGGAUAACUUCGGGAAACCGGAGCUAAUACCGGAUAAUAUAUUGAACCGCAUGGUUCAAUAGUGAAAGACGGUUUUGCUGUCACUUAUAGAUGGAUCCGCGCCGCAUUAGCUAGUUGGUAAGGUAACGGCUUACCAAGGCAACGAUGCGUAGCCGACCUGAGAGGGUGAUCGGCCACACUGGAACUGAGACACGGUCCAGACUCCUACGGGAGGCAGCAGUAGGGAAUCUUCUGCAAUGGGCGAAAGCUUGACGGAGCAACGCCGCGUGAGUGAUGAAGGUCUUCGGAUCGUAAAACUCUGUUAUUAGGGAAGAACAAAUGUGUAAGUAACUAUGCACGUCUUGACGGUACCUAAUCAGAAAGCCACGGCUAACUACG
Molecule: ribosomal RNA, 495 nt
Filed under: uncultured bacterium
Lineage: Bacteria
Description: partial 16S ribosomal RNA
Rfam family: Bacterial small subunit ribosomal RNA
Source: RNAcentral